UACGAAGGGUGCAAGCGUUGCUCGGAAUUAUUGGGCGUAAAGGGUAGGUAGGUGGUUACAUUUGUCUGGGGUGAAAAUCCCUGAGCUUAACUCAGGAAGUGCCUUGGAAACGGUGUAACUAGAGUACUGGAGAGGUUCGUGGAAUUCCCGGUGUAGCGGUGAAAUGCGUAGAGAUCGGGAGGAACACCAGCGGCGAAGGCGGCGAACUGGACAGUAACUGACACUAAACUACGAAAGCGUGGGGAGCAAACAGG
This 254-nucleotide ribosomal RNA is filed under the name uncultured bacterium. Its description in RNAcentral is "partial 16S ribosomal RNA". It matches the Rfam family "Bacterial small subunit ribosomal RNA", at positions 524 to 776 of the family's 1533-position model. The record is from RNAcentral.